CAAUUUUCACUCUAGCAGAAGGUAGUUUCGGACUUUGCCGAUUAUUACAAAUGAGGCCUUAUCACUGAAGUUUGUAACAUCCGAUAUCAGCGGAUAACUGCCAUUGCAUUUAGCGACAGCUGUAAACAGAAUGGCAGAAGAACCUUUUGAGAGGACGGAAAAGAAACCCGAGCCUGUCAGCAUUACCUCCCCUGAAAUGUAAGAAACUGGUGGAUUCCAAGACAAAAUUGUGGAAAAUGGAGACAUCUUCAAAUAACAGAAAGAAAUAAAGGCUGAAGAGGCAGGAUCACAGAUGUCAGAUGAAAGUUACCGCAAAAAAGGUUAAGUUGGAAAAGAGUGAAAAUGAAAAUGGAUGCUUGUGCAGUGACUGAAGUUGAAGUCAUAAAUUGAGGAUGAUGAAGCUACACGAAAAAGCUCUCAGCUCUACAGUCCGAGUCUGACCGACUUGUCCGACGAGCCACUGUCGGCGGCACUGCGAUCGCAGGCCCCUCACGGUGUGCGCUUACUCAGGCAAGUGUCGCGGGGAUUUGUUAAUGUAGAGGCUGACUGUACGCUGUAGGUGUCUGCAGACUUCCAUCAUUAGAGGAACAGUUCUAUGAACAGUACAUG
This 609-nucleotide long non-coding RNA is filed under the name Schistocerca americana (American grasshopper). Its description in RNAcentral is "uncharacterized LOC124615956, transcript variant X1". Lineage: Eukaryota; Metazoa; Arthropoda; Insecta; Orthoptera; Acrididae. The record is from RNAcentral.